CAGUCCCGCGGUAAUACAGAGGGUGCGAGCGUUAAUCGGAUUUACUGGGCGUAAAGCGUGCGUAGGCGGCUUCUUAAGUCGGAUGUGAAAUCCCUGAGCUUAACUUAGGAAUUGCAUUCGAUACUGGGAAGCUAGAGUAUGGGAGAGGAUGGUAGAAUUCCAGGUGUAGCGGUGAAAUGCGUAGAGAUCUGGAGGAAUACCGAUGGCGAAGGCAGCCAUCUGGCCUAAUACUGACGCUGAGGUACGAAAGCAUGGGGAGCAAACAGGAUUAGAGACCCGCGUAGUCCCUGUCUCUUAUACC
This 301-nucleotide ribosomal RNA is filed under the name uncultured bacterium. Its description in RNAcentral is "partial 16S ribosomal RNA". It matches the Rfam family "Bacterial small subunit ribosomal RNA", at positions 512 to 808 of the family's 1533-position model. The record is from RNAcentral.